Molecule: ribosomal RNA, 430 nt
Filed under: Pseudomonadota bacterium
Lineage: Bacteria; Pseudomonadati; Pseudomonadota
Description: Proteobacteria bacterium partial 16S ribosomal RNA
Rfam family: Bacterial small subunit ribosomal RNA
Source: RNAcentral
UGGGGAAUAUUGGACAAUGGGGGGAACCCUGAUCCAGCCAUGCCGCGUGUGUGAAGAAGGCCUUAUGGUUGUAAAGCACUUUAAGCGAGGAGGAGGGUACUGGUAUUAAUACUACCAGGUACUGGACGUUACUCGCAGAAUAAGCACCGGCUAACUCUGUGCCAGCAGCCGCGGUAAUACAGAGGGUGCGAGCGUUAAUCGGAUUUACUGGGCGUAAAGCGUGCGUAGGCGGUUAAUUGAGUCGGAUGUGAAAUCCCCGAGCUUAACUUGGGAAUUGCAUUCGAUACUGGUUAGCUAGAGUGUGGGAGAGGAUGGUAGAAUUCCAGGUGUAGCGGUGAAAUGCGUAGAGAUCUGGAGGAAUACCGAUGGCGAAGGCAGCCAUCUGGCCUAACACUGACGCUGAGGUACGAAAGCAUGGGGAGCAAACAGG